This 497-nucleotide ribosomal RNA is filed under the name uncultured bacterium. Its description in RNAcentral is "partial 16S ribosomal RNA". It matches the Rfam family "Bacterial small subunit ribosomal RNA", at positions 28 to 507 of the family's 1533-position model. The record is from RNAcentral.
GAUGAACGCUGGCGGCGUGCCUAAUACAUGCAAGUCGAGCGAACGGACGAGAAGCUUGCUUCUCUGAUGUUAGCGGCGGACGGGUGAGUAACACGUGGAUAACCUACCUAUAAGACUGGGAUAACUUCGGGAAACCGGAGCUAAUACCGGAUAAUAUUUUGAAUCGCAUGGUUCAAAAGUGAAAGACGGUCUUGCUGUCACUUAUAGAUGGAUCCGCGCUGCAUUAGCUAGUUGGUAAGGUAACGGCUUACCAAGGCAACGAUGCAUAGCCGACCUGAGAGGGUGAUCGGCCACACUGGAACUGAGAUACGGUCCAGACUCCUACGGGAGGCAGCAGUAGGGAAUCUUCCGCAAUGGGCGAAAGCCUGACGGAGCAACGCCGCGUGAGUGAUGAAGGUCUUCGGAUCGUAAAACUCUGUUAUUAGGGAAGAACAUAUGUGUAAGUAACUGUGCACAUCUUGACGGUACCUAAUCAGAAAGCCACGGCUAACUACGUG